RNAcentral lists this long non-coding RNA (473 nucleotides) under Populus trichocarpa (black cottonwood). RNAcentral's name for it is "long non-coding RNA (PTRI_LNC003191)". Lineage: Eukaryota; Viridiplantae; Streptophyta; Magnoliopsida; Malpighiales; Salicaceae. The record is from RNAcentral.
AUUAUGACUACAGAGAACGAUACAUCAUUAUUUUAUGAGGCAAUUAAGAUGAUGGAGAUGGAAAUGAUUGCUUUAUGAACACUACUCAUGUCAAGCAAUCUUCCUUCUCUACAAACAUUCACCAGAAGUGCUUAAUUAAUUGCCUUGCAAAAAUGGUGAUAAACCUAACCGAAUCACCCUCAACUUGUUGUUUCUUUCUCUAACAAGCACCUGACGUGAGUAGUUAGCACUGUUUUAUUGCAAUAAAAGAUGUCCCAAGCACUCCGAUAUAAUCACUGCGCGUAAAGAUCAAGGAGAAAAACACUACAUGGGCGGAUAAAAAAGCAUAUAUAGCUGAUCUUUCUAGGAUGCCCUGUCCCAUGCUGUCUGUUUCUGUCCUCAAUUGCCUCUCUAUAUGAAUAUUUCCCUUCCUUUUAUAUAGGCUAUUGAUCUCAUGUGCCCCAUGACUCCUUUUCUAUUUUAAUGUAAUUUUG